Molecule: long non-coding RNA, 4901 nt
Organism: Hemicordylus capensis (graceful crag lizard)
Lineage: Eukaryota; Metazoa; Chordata; Lepidosauria; Squamata; Cordylidae
Exons: 3
Source: RefSeq, a predicted model, not a curated record
AUGGCCACAGCAAGCCCCCCGAAGGGGCUACAGGUACUUGCCUGACGUCAAUUUUUUAAAAAAGAAGUUCACGGUCCGGUACCGGGGGUGGGGGCGGUGUUCAAUGGGGGCCAGACUGAACUGGCCUCGAACCGAACUGGGUCAGACGGUUCCGUGCACACCCCUAGGACUGGCUUCUGCUGGAGACUGAAGAAGUGAUUGAAUUUCAAAGGUCCAUCCACAUUCCUUUUUGUGAGGAUUCUCUAGCUAUUUUAGAAUAUUACAGGUGCCCAAUCCAGCUAAGAUUAGGGGGGAGUCAGAGGGUAGGGCUGGUUGUUUUUAUUUAGGGCCAUCUACCACCUAAUUAAAAAGUGGGAAAAUGACUUGACUAGCAAGCCAGAAGUUGUUGGUUCAAAUCCCCUUUGGUAUGUUUCCAGGACUAUGGGGAACACCUAUAUCGGGCAGCAGCGAUAUAAGAAAAUGCUGAAAGGCAUCAUCUCAUACAGCGCAGGAGAUGGCAAUGGUAAACCCCUCCUGUAUUCUGCCAAAGACAACCACAGGCCUCUGUGGUUGCCAGGAAUUACUGACUCGACACCACACUUUACUUUUAGCUUUCCCCUAUGAUCCAAGUGCUACUUGAUGAGUUGUGAAUAUGAUGACAGCAAUACAGAAGAGCCAUGAAGCUCUCAAAGAGCCAUACAGAAUAUGGUGCCAUUAUUUUGGUGGGUGAGCAAUUGGUUGUUAUAAUCCUCUGAUUAUGCAGAUGGCUGCUUGGUUACACACCUGUCAUAUUAAAGAGAAUAUACACCAAAAUGAUUUAUUAGUAAUGAUUAAGGCAGCAUAUUCUGCAAGGCAACAUGGUGAACAAACUCCACACCUCUUGCAUAAAAGGCACUUUUGAAGGGGGAAAAUAUUUUAUGAAUACCUGCAAAAUCAUAUUUUGUCCUUUGCAUUAAAAUAUGACUAACUGUAAAGAGAUGGGAAUACUCCCCUACCUACCCCCGCCCACAACUGAAUGAUAUAGUUUGGUGAUAACCAGAAGGGGCUGAAUGGAAUGCCCUCUAUUGUCUUUUUAACACUUCUGCCUAUUCUUUAGCUUAAUGAAAGGGUUGCUAUGAAGAGCACUAAUCUGUGGAUAUUUCAUGGCAUUAAAAUAUUAGUUACCCAGGACAUUAAUUUUCUUCCCGAAGACUCCAGAGAACAGUUGUUACAUUUUCAGGAAUGGAAGGAACAUAUUCAGGGUGGGAAGUUUGUGACACACAGAUGGACCUUUGGAUCAGCUGCAGAGCUUUCUACCCCAAAGCUGCAUCAGCUGAAAAAAAACAGGGUGCUUACCUGUAACUUAUGAUCCCUGUGGGGAUCCAUGGUCACUCACAACUGUGUCUUCUUCGCUUGCGCAGGAGGACCUCAGAAAAAUUCUUUAGCUCCUUUUAGGCGCUCACUGGCCAUUUAGGCGCAGUGAUAUCAAAGCCUAUGAAGUUGGCUGUAGAGUGCCUCCCUCUUCAGUUCCUGAAUCAGCCACUGCAAAGUGACUGAGAAUAUGGAUAUACUGUAUACAGAAGAAAAAACAGCAAGCAAUCCACAGCAGCACAGGUAAGAUGAUACAGAUAAGCUAGCAGAGGUGAUGGCCGGGUGGGUGUUGUGAGUGGCCAUGGGAACCCCACAGGUAAGCAACCAGUUUAUCUCUGUAGGGAUCCAUGGUCACUCACAACUGGUGAGUAACUAGCUCCCAAAAACAAGGAGGUGGGGACUAGCAGCUAUAGCACUUUUAUCAAGACUGCCUGACCAAAGUUAGCCUCUGAAGCAAAAUGUAAGUCCACAGCAUAGUGACAGACAAAGGGCAGGUCGGAAGACCAAGUAGCAGCCCUGCAAAUGUCCUUCAUACUGAUGCCAGCCAUGUGGGCAGAUGAGGUAGCCAUGGCUCUAAUGGAAUGCACCCUGAUUUUAGAGGGCGGCUGAAUGCCUUGCGUCUUGUAACACAGGAAAAUCAAUUGCACUAGCCAAUUGGAUAAUCUUUGUCUCGAAAUGGCUAAACCUUUUAGUGACUCCUGCAUAGGAGAUGAACAGUUUAUCAGAUCACCGUAAAGUCUUAGUGCGAUCCAGAAAAUAAAGCAAGCACCUGCAGACAUCCAGGGCAUGCAUGAAUGUUCAAGAGGCAUGGAGGAGUUACAGAAGAAUGUAGGUAACACAAUGUCCUGAUUAAUGUGAAAAUCCGACACACUCUUUGGAUGAAAAGCACGAUCCCAAUGCAGGAUAACCUUGUCCGGGGGGAAAUUUGUAUAAGGUGAGUCAACUCUCAAGGCCGUAAGUUCACUGACACGUUUUGCCGAUGUGAUGACUACCAGAAGGCAGUCUUCAGGCACAGUAACUUCAUGGAAGAAGACAACAGCUGUUCAAACGGGGUUCUGUGAGUGUAGGUAACACAAGGGACAGGUUCUAAGGUUCAGCUCGUGGCCAUACAGGAGGGUACAGGUUGUUAACCCCCUUCAAAAAACACUUCAAGUCAGGAUGAAGAAAAAACCAGCUUGCCAUCCCAGCCCAAGUGGUGAGAGGAGAUGGCAGCUAGGUAACCCUGAGGGAAGAAUUUGAGAGGCCCAAGCCUUUGAGUGAGGUGAGGUCAAAUGCCUUUCAAAAUGCAUAGGACUCAACGCAUUUCUAUUUGCAUUUGUAGUCCCGCCUCAGAGGCCUUCCUCUCAUUCAAUAGGAUUUCAUCUAAAAGUUCAGCCUCCAUGCUGUCAAUGAGAGGGACUGGAGGGCAUGGUGUAGGAUCAAGCCCCUGUCUCUCAUAAGGAGGUCCUACUGAGGUGGAAGGCAACAGUAAAACCCUUUGCAUAGUCAGAGGACAGCUGGAAACCAAGGUUGUCUGGGCCACCAGGGGCAGAUUAGGAUGCGCUGGGUGCAUUCUUGCAAUAUCUUCCCCACCACUCUAGACAUUAGCAGAAAGGGGGUGGGGAAAGAGAUAAAACAAUUUGUCUUUCCAUUGCAGAUGGAAGGCACCCCGCCAGAGAGUUUGGGCCGAUGCCCGCCCUAGAACAGGACAAAGAACAUUUUGCAUUUUGUGCUGUGGCAAACCAGCCAAUAUUGGGGACACCCCAAAAGUCAAACACAUCUGACAGAAUAGUCAUUUAACUCCCACUCAUGGAGAUUAGAAAAUGAGAGGUCCUGACUAAAUGAGUCAGCCAAAUUGUUACCUUUCUCUUUAAUAUGUAUUGCCAUUGGGGAGGAUGUCAAAUCUCAAGCACCCUUCCCAUAACUGUAAUGCAAGGUUUUUCAGGGACCUCGAAACAGUGCCUCCCUGGUGAUUUAGGUAGGCGAUAGCCGUAGUAUUGUCAAUGUGAACCUGAACCACCUGGCCUAGGAGGAUGGGUAGGAAAGCUUUAAAAGCAAGAAACACUGCCAAGAGCUGUAAAAAAUAAAAAUGAAGCUCUUGUUGGGAGUUCCACAGGCCUCUCACCCAUAGGGAACCACAGUGAGCACCCCAGCCCUGCGUGGAAGCAUCAGUAGUUACUGAUAUUGUGGGGUUCAGUUCUUGAAAAGAAUUGAACCUUGAGAAAGCGAAUCAGGCAGGGACCAGCAUAGCAGGUCUCGCAAAUGUUCUCUGGAACGACUAACCAUUCCUUUUUAUUGUCCAGGUUUGGUCAGAAAACAGACAGUAGCCAAAGCUGUAGUCUCUGCAUUUGCAAGUGUGCGUUCAUCACAGUUGUGGUGCAAGAGGCCAUGAGGCCUAGCAGAUGCUGAAUGGAAUGAGCCCGUUGUCGUGGGGUUUCCUGGAAAGCUACAAUCAUGGAAGAAAUGGCUUGGAUGCAUCCUACAGGAGCUGAAUGGGUCCGUAUAGAUUUGGCCUGAAGUGCAUAAUACAUCACUAAAGAGUUUGGUGCCAGGUGUUUGAACAAAAAGGACAAGAUGUUUUUUGAACUCUGUACAGGUUCUCUACUUACUUGCAAGGGAGGGUCAAGGUUACUAGAGUCAACCAUGCUGCCUUGGAAGCAGCCACUAGAGAGGGCAGCAUCGGCAAUAGAGCAGGAUGCACCACAGAUGUUGAAGCCAGAUAGCUGUCUGUGACAGUCUCUUCCGGAAGAGGAACUUCUAUGCCCAAAGCCUUCACCAUCUCCUGGAUCUGUACCUGGUAUGACUUGGUUUCCUCAGAGGGGAAAUCUGAAGGCCGGGUACCCACUGAGUCAUCGGGUGGAGUACACAGGGGUACCUCAGAUACAUCGGACUCCAGAUCAGAUGGAUACGAAGACUCAUCGUCAGAAUCAGAAAUUUGUGGGACAGGAGUCCUCAGUGUAGGGUGAGGUAGUGUUCCAGGCCCAGAUGGAACCAGGUGCCUAGGAAUAGGAGUGCCCAACAGAAUAGGUUAAUUUGGCCAUUCUGGAAGUUCAGGACAUUCUGGAAUUACAGGAGCAGGUGACAAUGGCAGCACCGGUGUGGGUGGCAGUGCCUGAGGUAGUGGCAUGGUAUGCCAAGAUGAUACAGGUGGUAUUGCUGGUCUUUUGAAAAGGAAUGAGGGAAUAACUAAAGCAGAACCUUCCUGGGGCAAUGCAAGCAGCAGACAAGAAAGAACUGAAGAGGGAGACGCUCUACAGCUGUCUUUGUAGGCUCCAAUAUCACUGCACCUUAAGGUCCAGUGAGUGUCUAAACGGAGCGAAAAAAUUAUUCCGAGGUCCUCUUGCACAGGAGCAGAAGACCCAACUGUGAGUGACCAUGGAUCCCUACAGAGAUCAAGAGGUUGCGGUGCCUAAUAAUGGAACCUCUGAUGCCUGGCUUCACAUGCUUCUUCUAGAUUAGACCUUCACCAUGAGGUUGCUAUUAUCACCCUUCACCCAGUGAGCAUAAGCUCUUGAGAUGGAAACCUUCUCUGGUCUCUGUAAAUAUUAGUCUCCUAGGUAGUGAUAGUCUAGAUAUUGUACCUUUCUUCUCAC